CAGUAGCCGCGGGAAUACGAAGGGGGCUAGCGUUGCUCGGAAUGACUGGGCGUAAAGGGCGCGUAGGCGGAUGGCACAGUCAGAUGUGAAAUUCCCGGGCUUAACCUGGGGGCUGCAUUUGAUACGUGUUGUCUAGAGUGAGGAAGAGGGUCGUGGAAUUCCCAGUGUAGAGGUGAAAUUCGUAGAUAUUGAGAAGAACACCGGUGGCGAAGGCGGCGACCUGGUCCUUUACUGACGCUGAGGCGCUAAAGCGUGAGGAGCAAACAGGAUUAGAUACCCGUGUAGUCCCUGUCUCUUAUAC
Molecule: ribosomal RNA, 301 nt
Filed under: uncultured bacterium
Lineage: Bacteria
Description: partial 16S ribosomal RNA
Rfam family: Bacterial small subunit ribosomal RNA
Source: RNAcentral